Molecule: long non-coding RNA, 566 nt
Organism: Glycine soja
Lineage: Eukaryota; Viridiplantae; Streptophyta; Magnoliopsida; Fabales; Fabaceae
Exons: 2
Source: RefSeq, a predicted model, not a curated record
AGUCUAAUGAUGGUUCAGCUAUAGUAGCCACACAUGGUGAAUCUGUGACAGAGGCUCUGAAAACUAAGGAGUGGGAGGUGGGAAUGUUCCAAAAUGAGGUUGCAGCUAGCCAAGGUAUAAGAAUAAGGAGAAGACCACCAUCUAGACCCCCUUUGCAUUAUGUAGGACCCUUUCAAUUCAAGUUGCAGAAUGAGGGAAAUACGCCCCGGAACAUUUUGGAAGAGAUUGUGUGGAACAAAGACACAGAAGUCUCGCAUCUUAAAGAAAGAAAACCCCUCAAUGUGAUGAAGAAAGCUCUCGAAAAUGCACCUCUGAUCCUGCUAGGGAUUUUAUUGGUGCUCUAAAGGCAGCCAACGAACGAACUGGACUACCAGGGUUGAUUGCUGAAGUGAAGAAAGUGUCACCAAGUAGAGGUAUCUUGAGAUAAGACUUCGAUCCAGUAAGUUUGUGUUGUUUUCCUGUAUCCUUUUUGUGGAAAGAAUUGUUGUCUCUCUACUUUAUUUGUAAUUUUAUGAAGUUGUUUUCUUUAUGUAAUGUGUGAAAUGUUUUAACUAGCUGACACCCCA